GCAUCUGUAGCUCAGUUGGUUAGAGCGCUGCAUCGGAAUCGCAGGGCCGUAGGUUCAAUUCCUACCAGAGGAC
RNAcentral lists this transfer RNA (73 nucleotides) under Paramuricea clavata. It matches the Rfam family "tRNA". From Rfam's summary of the family: Transfer RNA (tRNA) molecules are approximately 80 nucleotides in length. Their secondary structure includes four short double-helical elements and three loops (D, anti-codon, and T loops). Lineage: Eukaryota; Metazoa; Cnidaria; Anthozoa; Malacalcyonacea; Plexauridae. The record is from Rfam by way of RNAcentral.